RNAcentral lists this ribosomal RNA (377 nucleotides) under uncultured eukaryote. RNAcentral describes it as "partial 18S ribosomal RNA". It matches the Rfam family "Eukaryotic small subunit ribosomal RNA", at positions 592 to 976 of the family's 1831-position model. The record is from RNAcentral.
CAAUAGCGUAUAUUAAAGUUGUUGCAGUUAAAAAGCUCGUAGUUGGAUUUCGGGGUGGCCUGCCUGGUCCACCGCAAGGUGAGUACUGGUCAGCCGCCCUUCCUCUCGAAAGCCCCGACUGCUCUUCAUUGCAGUGGUCGGGUAGUUCGGGACGUUUACUUUGAAAAAAUUAGAGUGUUCAAGGCAGGCUAUCGCCUGAAUACAUUAGCAUGGAAUAAUGGAAGAGGACCUCGGUCCUAUUUUGUUGGUUUCUAGGGCCGAAGUAAUGAUUAAGAGGGACAGUUGGGGGCAUUCGUAUUUAAUUGUCAGAGGUGAAAUUCUUGGAUUUAUGAAAGACGAACUAGUGCGAAAGCAUUUGCCAAGGAUGUUCUCAUUAA